AUGAAGCUGACCACUUUUGAUCUGCUUCUCGCCCACGGGUUUCUUACACCAAGGGACAUGUCUGAUACAGGAAAGGUGAAGAGCUGCAGAAUGGAUGCCAUCAUCCUUGGCACUGUGACACAGAUUGCAAGAGAAGAUCACUUUGUAAAGAACAACCAUCAUCCUGACUUGGCUCAUCGCCUUUCGGUUCACUAUGAAGGCCAACCGCAGCAAGCUGAGAAGGCGUGUUGGAAUAAUUGUGGCCGCCAAGCAACAGUUGAACAGUCCAAUGCCACUCAAGAGUUCUUGGAAUCACUUCCAUCGUCAACUCACUCAGGGAUUCUGAAAGUCUUUGAUCUAGAAGACUGCAAUGAAUUGGAGGACCACCAUGUUAAAAUCAUUUGCAACCAUGCAUUCCACCUUAAGUACUUGAGCGUCCGGAAAACUGGCAUUACUGAACUACCCAAGCAGCUCGGCAAGCUUCAGUCCCUAGAGACCCUGGACAUUCGUGAAACAAAAAUAAAAUCAUUUGCCAAAAAUUCCAUUUUUCUGCCAAAGCUAAAGCAUCUACUUGCUGGCCAAUGGACUGAUGAAGAGCUUGUUGUAAAUGGUGACGUCCAAUCAAAGCAGACGUUUUCCACCGUGGCGAUGCCCAAACAUAUCGGGGACAUGACAGAAUUGCAGGUGAUAUCUCAUAUUGCAGUUUCUGGCGAUGGCAGUGAACUACAAUAUGUUGGCUACCUACUUCAGUUGGUUAAGUUGGGUGUGGUUGUCUCCGGAAGUAAAGCAUCAUCAGUCUUGAGGCAUUUGUACCAUGCAACUGGAAAUCUUGGAUUUCUUCGCUCACUGUCAAUCCAAGUCACAAAAACCGACGAAGACUAUGAGAACAUGAACAGGCAAGAUGCAAGCCCAAUAUAUCCAAAGUAUCUUCAUAAGCUAAAAAUCAGUGGCCUGAAAAAUGGAUUGCCUUCAUGGAUUGCAAAGCUCAAGGUACUUACCAAAAUGACCCUGCGUAUGACUUUCAUAACAGACGAUGACUUCAUAAUCCUUGGCCAGCUUACAAGCUUGUCCGGGCUUAGGCUCCAACAGGAGUCCUGCAAUGAAGUACACUCGCCUUCAAAAAAGAUGCAUUUCAGAGUCUUAAGUUCCUUGACAUUGCGUGCUCAGCCAUUACCACUAUCAACUUUGACAAUGAGGCAUGUCCUAAUCUGA
Molecule: ribosomal RNA, 1191 nt
Filed under: Triticum aestivum (bread wheat)
Lineage: Eukaryota; Viridiplantae; Streptophyta; Magnoliopsida; Poales; Poaceae
Description: partial small subunit ribosomal RNA
Source: RNAcentral